CCUACGGGAGGCAGCAGUGGGGAAUAUUGGGCAAUGGGCGCAAGCCUGACCCAGCAACGCCGCGUGAAGGAAGAAUGCCCUCGGGUUGUAAACUUCUUUUGUCAGGGACGAAGAAAGUGACGGUACCUCACGAAUAAGCCACGGCUAACUACGUGCCAGCAGCCGCGGUAAUACGGAGGUGGCAAGCGUUAUCCGGAUUUAUUGGGUGUAAAGGGAGUGUAGGUGGGACGGUAAGUCAGAUGUGAAAUUCCAGGGCUCAACCGUGAAAUUGGAAUUGAGACUGAAAGUCUUGAGUACAGGGGAGGCAGGCGGAAUUCGGGGUGUAGCGGUGAAAUGCGUAGAUAUCACGAAGAACACCGAUGGCGAAGGCAGCCUACUAAACAUUGACUGACAUUGAGGCGCGAAAGUGUGGGGAGCAAACAGGAUUAGAUACCCGAGUAGUC
This 443-nucleotide ribosomal RNA is filed under the name uncultured bacterium. Its description in RNAcentral is "partial 16S ribosomal RNA". It matches the Rfam family "Bacterial small subunit ribosomal RNA", at positions 338 to 795 of the family's 1533-position model. The record is from RNAcentral.